Molecule: ribosomal RNA, 810 nt
Filed under: alpha proteobacterium WST7-1
Lineage: Bacteria; Pseudomonadati; Pseudomonadota; Alphaproteobacteria
Description: bacterial SSU rRNA
Rfam family: Bacterial small subunit ribosomal RNA
Source: RNAcentral
GCCUAGCAUGCGAGUGCGAAGAAGCCUUCGGGGUUAGUGGCGGACGGGUGAGUAACACGUGGGAACGUGCCCUUUGGUACGGAAUAACUCAGGGAAACUUGAGCUAAUACCGUAUGUGCCCUUCGGGGGAAAGAUUUAUCGCCAUUGGAGCGGCCCGCGUCUGAUUAGCUAGUUGGUGAGGUAAUGGCUCACCAAGGCGACGAUCAGUAGCUGGUCUGAGAGGAUGACCAGCCACAUUGGGACUGAGACACGGCCCAAACUCCUACGGGAGGCAGCAGUGGGGAAUCUUGCGCAAUGGGCGAAAGCCUGACGCAGCCAUGCCGCGUGGAUGAUGAAGGUCUUAGGAUUGUAAAAUCCUUUCACCGGGGACGAUAAUGACGGUACCCGGAGAAGAAGCCCCGGCUAACUUCGUGCCAUCAGCCGCGGUAAUACCAAGGGGGCUAGCGUUGCUCGGAAUUACUGGGCGUAAAGGGCGCGUACGCGGACAUUUAAGUCGGGGGUGAAAUCCCAGGGCUCAACCCUGGAACUGCCUUCGAUACUGGAUGUCUUGAGUGCGGGAGAGGUGUGUGGAACUCCGAGUGUAGAGGUGAAAUUCGUACAUAUUCGGAAGAACACCAGUGGCGAACGCGACACACUGGCCCGUUACUGACGCUGAGGCGCGAAAGCGUGGGGAGCACACAGGAUUAGAUACCCUGGUAGUCCACGCCGUAAACGAUGAUUGCUAGUUGUCGGAGUGCAUGCACUUCGGUGACACAUCUAACGCAUUACUCAAUCCGCCUGGGGAGGUACGGUCGCAAGAUUAAAACUCAU